UACGUAGGGUGCAAGCGUUGUUCGGAAUUACUGGGCGUAAAGGGCGCGUAGGCGGUCUUCUAAGUCUUGUGUGAAAUCCCUCGGCUCAACUGAGGAACUGCACGGGAUACUGGAAGACUUGAGUUCGGGAGAGGGAAGCGGAAUUCCGGGUGUAGCGGUGAAAUGCGCAGAUAUCAGGAGGAACACCGGUGGCGAAGGCGGGUCUCUGGGCCGAUACUGACGCUGAGGAGCGAAAGCGUGGGGAGCGAACAGG
Molecule: ribosomal RNA, 253 nt
Filed under: uncultured bacterium
Lineage: Bacteria
Description: partial 16S ribosomal RNA
Rfam family: Bacterial small subunit ribosomal RNA
Source: RNAcentral